Molecule: ribosomal RNA, 497 nt
Filed under: uncultured bacterium
Lineage: Bacteria
Description: partial 16S ribosomal RNA
Rfam family: Bacterial small subunit ribosomal RNA
Source: RNAcentral
GGUGAACGCUGGCGGCGUGCCUAAUACAUGCAAGUCGAGCGAACGGACGAGAAGCUUGCUUCUCUGAUGUUAGCGGCGGACGGGUGAGUAACACGUGGAUAACCUACCUAUAAGACUGGGAUAACUUCGGGAAACCGGAGCUAAUACCGGAUGAUAUUUUGAACCGCAUGGUUCAAAAGUGAAAGACGGUCUUGCUGUCACUUAUAGAUGGAUCCGCGCUGCAUUAGCUAGUUGGUAAGGUAACGGCUUACCAAGGCAACGAUGCAUAGCCGACCUGAGAGGGUGAUCGGCCACACUGGAACUGAGACCCGGUCCAGACUCCUACGGGAGGCAGCAGUAGGGAAUCUUCCGCAAUGGGCGAAAGCCUGACGGAGCAACGCCGCGUGAGUGAUGAAGGUCUUCGGAUCGUAAAACUCUGUUAUUAGGGAAGAACAUAUGUGUAAGUAACUGUGCACAUCUUGACGGUACCUAAUCAGAAAGCCACGGCUAACUACGUG